This is an RNA transcript of Lemur catta (Ring-tailed lemur), 1699 nucleotides long. It is a transcript of the gene named distal membrane arm assembly component 1, with no coding region annotated. Lineage: Eukaryota; Metazoa; Chordata; Mammalia; Primates; Lemuridae. The record is from RefSeq and is a predicted model, not a curated record. The transcript has 4 exons.
UCUAAGGUUGAGGCCGCGUUUCAGAACAUGGGUUCUUUAGUGUCCCAACCUUUUGAAGAGUUCAAGGUCGCCGCACCUCCCGAAACCGCCUCACCACCCAAGCCUGCGCCCCCAGCCACUCCCAGAGCGCCAGCCCCUCCGGCGCAAGCCCCCGUAUUUAAAAGCUGCUGGAGUUGUCGCGUACUCUCUGGGUUUGGGCUGAUGGGCGCGGGCGGGUACGUGUACUUGGUGUCGCGGAAGCCCAUGAAGCUGGGCUACCCCCCGGGUCCCGGGACUAUUGCGCAGAUGGUCGUCGGCAUCAGCAUUUUCUGCUGGGGUGUAGUUAUCCUGACAGACCCCAAAGGAAAGUCCUACCGGACUGAUUGAAGAAACCACCUGUGAAUUUGUCUUCUCUCAUCCCUGUCCCUGCGACACACAGAGCAAGCAUGGGGUUUGUGGAUGUUCUGGACAGACACUUGGAUAUGGACAGACUUCAGUACUGUGGAUACUAUAAGACUGAAAAGACAAUCAUAGAAGUACACGAAACUUUGUAUCUGUGGACCGCUUAUACUUUCCAAGGCACUUUCAAGUCCAUCACCUCCUGAGAGCUUCACAGGUUUCUCAGCCUGGCUGUGUCUGAAGUAGGGACCUCCUGAAAGAAGCCAGUUGAUUUGACAACAUAAAAUAUACUGCUCUUGAAUUAAAUAUGUUCAGGGCAAGUGUAUGUUCAAGUACCCCCUCAAACCAGGCUUGGCCUCAACUGAUUUAUUGCCAGGACUACAUUGAUCAAACUGACACUUCUCAAAUCUUAAAAAAAAAAAAAAAGUAAGCAAUUUUAGUUGAAAAGCUGCUCUUUUGGUUUGUUUUGUUUUUGUUUUAGUUUUAAAUGACAGAUAAAUCCUUGCCUUGACCCAUUGAUUAUGUAGGUGUUAGGGUCACAGGGUUGGAGGUGAAGAUCCAUAAUUACACAUCAUUCAGAGGUAUCCUAACAGCAUGGGGCAAAAAUAUGUCACUCUUAUAAAAUGCAUGUGUCUUGGCCUUUGAGAUAUUCAACUUGUCAUUCAAAUAUAAAUGGAGUGUAGAGAAAUAGCCAAAGGGGCAAAUGUUAAAUGCAGCAGUGCCACUAAAAGUCACUGCUCAGUCAUGUGACUGAACUUGCAUAUGUUUCAGGAAUGUGGUAGACUGGAUCUUAAGAUGUUCCCCAAGGUUCCAAGCCCCACACCUUCCAGUUAUUCAACCAAACACCAUUCUAGGUGCUGCUAUGAAGGGAUUUUGCAGAUGUAAUUAAGGUGCCAGAUCAGUUGACCAUAAAAUAGGGAGAUUAUCCAGAUGGACUAAUCAUGAGCCAAUUAAAUCUGGGUCUGGAAGUCUGAGAUAAGAUAAGUCAGAGAUUAGAAGCAUGAGGAAGAUUCAGUGCUCCAGAAGUUCUGUGCUGGCGUGGAAGACAGCGAACGUGGGGGCCACGUGGCAAGGAACUGCAGGCAGUCUGAAGCUGCUGAGAGUAGUCCACAGCUGACAGCUAGAAGAGCAAUGAAGACCUCAAUUCUCUAACUGCAAGGAAAUGGAUUGCUGCCAAUGGCCUGUGAACUUGGAAGAGGGUCCUCUAGGAACCAAGAACCACAGCCCUGGCCAACAGCUUGGUUUUUAGCCUGGUAAGACCCUAAGCAGUGUAUCCAGUCAGGCUGUGAAACUGUGAGAUAAUAAAUUUCUGUUGUUUUAA